GCUGACGAGCGGCGGACGGGUGAGUAAUGCAUAGGAAUCUGCCCGAUAGUGGGGGAUAACCUGGGGAAACCCAGGCUAAUACCGCAUACGUCCUACGGGAGAAAGGGGGCUCCGGCUCCCGCUAUGGGAUGAGCCUAUGUCGGAUUAGCUAGUUGGUGAGGUAACGGCUCACCAAGGCGACGAUCCGUAGCUGGUCUGAGAGGAUGAUCAGCCACAUCGGGACUGAGACACGGCCCGAACUCCUACGGGAGGCAGCAGUGGGGAAUAUUGGACAAUGGGGGAAACCCUGAUCCAGCCAUGCCGCGUGUGUGAAGAAGGCCCUCGGGUUGUAAAGCACUUUCAGCGAGGAAGAACGCCUAGCGGUUAAUACCCGCUAGGAAAGACAUCACUCGCAGAAGAAGCACCGGCUAACUCCGUGCCAGCAGCCGCGGUAAUACGGAGGGUGCAAGCGUUAAUCGGAAU
Molecule: ribosomal RNA, 462 nt
Filed under: Vreelandella aquamarina
Lineage: Bacteria; Pseudomonadati; Pseudomonadota; Gammaproteobacteria; Oceanospirillales; Halomonadaceae
Description: bacterial SSU rRNA
Rfam family: Bacterial small subunit ribosomal RNA
Source: RNAcentral